CGAACGCUGGCGGCGUGCUUAACACAUGCAAGUCGAACGGUGAAGGGGCCUGCUUUUGUGGGCCCUGGAUGAGUGGCGAACGGGUGGGUAACACGUGAGUAACCUGCCCCCUUCUUCUGGAUAACCGCAUGAAAGUGUGGCUAAUACGGGAUAUUCUGGGUCUGUCGCAUGAUGGGUCUGGGAAAGAUUGCGCCUUUGGGUGUUUUUGGUGGGGGAUGGGCUCGCGGCCUAUCAGCUUGUUGGUGGGGUGAUGGCCUACCAAGGCGGUGACGGGUAGCCGGCCUGAGAGGGUGGACGGUCACACUGGGACUGAGACACGGCCCAGACUCCUACGGGAGGCAGCAGUGGGGAAUAUUGCACAAUGGGCGCAAGCCUGAUGCAGCGACGCCGCGUGAGGGAUGGAGGCCUUCGGGUUGUAAACCUCUUUCGCCAGUGAAGCAGGCCUGCUCCUUGUGGGUGGGUUGACGGUAGCUGGAUAAGAAGCGCCGGCUAACUACGUG
RNAcentral lists this ribosomal RNA (500 nucleotides) under uncultured bacterium. RNAcentral describes it as "partial 16S ribosomal RNA". It matches the Rfam family "Bacterial small subunit ribosomal RNA", at positions 30 to 507 of the family's 1533-position model. The record is from RNAcentral.